AGAGUUUGAUCAUGGCUCAGAUUGAACGCUGGCGGCAGGCCUAACACAUGCAAGUCGAGCGGUAGCACAGAGAGCUUGCUCUCGGGUGACGAGCGGCGGACGGGUGAGUAAUGUCUGGGAAACUGCCUGAUGGAGGGGGAUAACUACUGGAAACGGUAGCUAAUACCGCAUAACGUCGCAAGACCAAAGUGGGGGACCUUCGGGCCUCAUGCCAUCAGAUGUGCCCAGAUGGGAUUAGCUAGUAGGUGGGGUAAUGGCUCACCUAGGCGACGAUCCCUAGCUGGUCUGAGAGGAUGACCAGCCACACUGGAACUGAGACACGGUCCAGACUCCUACGGGAGGCAGCAGUGGGGAAUAUUGCACAAUGGGCGCAAGCCUGAUGCAGCCAUGCCGCGUGUGUGAAGAAGGCCUUCGGGUUGUAAAGCACUUUCAGCGGGGAGGAAGGCGAUAAGGUUAAUAACCUUGCCGAUUGACGUUACCCGCAGAAGAAGCACCGGCUAACUCCGUGCCAGCAGCCGCGGUAAUACGGAGGGUGCAAGCGUUAAUCGGAAUUACUGGGCGUAAAGCGCACGCAGGCGGUCUGUCAAGUCGGAUGUGAAAUCCCCGGGCUCAACCUGGGAACUGCAUUCGAAACUGGCAGGCUAGAGUCUUGUAGAGGGGGGUAGAAUUCCAGGUGUAGCGGUGAAAUGCGUAGAGAUCUGGAGGAAUACCGGUGGCGAAGGCGGCCCCCUGGACAAAGACUGACGCUCAGGUGCGAAAGCGUGGGGAGCAAACAGGAUUAGAUACCCUGGUAGUCCACGCCGUAAACGAUGUCGAUUUGGAGGUUGUGCCCUUGAGGCGUGGCUUCCGGAGCUAACGCGUUAAAUCGACCGCCUGGGGAGUACGGCCGCAAGGUUAAAACUCAAAUGAAUUGACGGGGGCCCGCACAAGCGGUGGAGCAUGUGGUUUAAUUCGAUGCAACGCGAAGAACCUUACCUGGUCUUGACAUCCACAGAACUUUCCAGAGAUGGAUUGGUGCCUUCGGGAACUGUGAGACAGGUGCUGCAUGGCUGUCGUCAGCUCGUGUUGUGAAAUGUUGGGUUAAGUCCCGCAACGAGCGCAACCCUUAUCCUUUGUUGCCAGCGGUUAGGCCGGGAACUCAAAGGAGACUGCCAGUGAUAAACUGGAGGAAGGUGGGGAUGACGUCAAGUCAUCAUGGCCCUUACGACCAGGGCUACACACGUGCUACAAUGGCAUAUACAAAGAGAAGCGACCUCGCGAGAGCAAGCGGACCUCAUAAAGUAUGUCGUAGUCCGGAUUGGAGUCUGCAACUCGACUCCAUGAAGUCGGAAUCGCUAGUAAUCGUAGAUCAGAAUGCUACGGUGAAUACGUUCCCGGGCCUUGUACACACCGCCCGUCACACCAUGGGAGUGGGUUGCAAAAGAAGUAGGUAGCUUAACCUUCGGGAGGGCGCUUACCACUUUGUGAUUCAUGACUGGGGUGAAGUCGUAACAAGGUAACCGUAGGGGAACCUGCGGUUG
RNAcentral lists this ribosomal RNA (1520 nucleotides) under Klebsiella pneumoniae. RNAcentral describes it as "bacterial SSU rRNA". It matches the Rfam family "Bacterial small subunit ribosomal RNA". The record is from RNAcentral. Lineage: Bacteria; Pseudomonadati; Pseudomonadota; Gammaproteobacteria; Enterobacterales; Enterobacteriaceae.